GGAAUGGAUGAGCCGUCGUUUUCAUUGUUCUGCGAUGAAGAACUCCUCUUCUUCUUUUGGCUAACAAUUUUGAAACCAUUUUCACAACCAAAAAGUUUCAAUUACUUAUCGAUGCAACAUCUUCUUCUCACUCUGUCAUCGCUAGAGAAAUUUCAUUUAUAACCCUUCCCUCUAAUCAAAUCCUCCUCUAAUUUCAGAAAAAUUUGUGUUGUCUUUACAUGAAGAAAACCCCAAUGUUAAAAAAUUUCCAUUUUAAUGAUUCAUUAUUUGUUGAUUUUGCAGGUUUGGUCAAUAUACAUGCAGAUUGGAUUUCCCUCCAAAGGGAUAAGAUAAGAACAAGAGGUUUGAACUAAAAGGCAACAAGAAUGUAUUGGGGGAGUUUCACAGUGGCUUUAUGAACAAUGGAGAAAGAACUGGUUCUACUAACCGAAAUUAAUUCAAGGUUUUUCAUUUUACUUGAGAAGAGACUUUUGGUUGUGGAAAAAGGCUUUGCUACACCGCUGCCACAA
Trifolium pratense (red clover) is the source of this 509-nucleotide long non-coding RNA. RefSeq lists it as uncharacterized. The transcript has 3 exons. Lineage: Eukaryota; Viridiplantae; Streptophyta; Magnoliopsida; Fabales; Fabaceae. The record is from RefSeq and is a predicted model, not a curated record.